Molecule: ribosomal RNA, 447 nt
Filed under: uncultured bacterium
Lineage: Bacteria
Description: partial 16S ribosomal RNA
Rfam family: Bacterial small subunit ribosomal RNA
Source: RNAcentral
AGCGAACGCUGGCGGCAGGCUUAACACAUGCAAGUCGAGCGCACCGCAAGGGGAGCGGCAGACGGGAGAGUAACACGUGGGAACGUACCCUUCAGUUCGGAACGACCCAGGGAAACUUGGGCUAAUACCGAAUACGUCCGUAAGGAGAAAGAUUUAUCGCUGAAGGAUCGGCCCGCGUCUGAUUAGCUAGUUGGUGAGGUAACGGCUCACCAAGGCGACGAUCAGUAGCUGGUCUGAGAGGAUGAUCAGCCUCACUGGGACUGAGACACGGCCCAGACUCCUACGGGAGGCAGCAGUGGAGAAUAUUGGACAAUGGGCGCAAGCCUGAUCCAGCCAUGCCGCGUGGAUGAUGAAGGCCUUAGGGUUGUAAAGUCCUUUUAACGGGGAAGAUAAUGACGGUACCCGUAGAAUAAGCCCCGGCUAACUUCGUGCCAGCCGCCGCGGUAA